GACGAACGCUGGCGGCGUGCCUAAUACAUGCAAGUCGAACGAACUCUGGUAUUGAUUGGUGCUUGCAUCAUGAUUUACAUUUGAGUGAGUGGCGAACUGGUGAGUAACACGUGGGAAACCUGCCCAGAAGCGGGGGAUAACACCUGGAAACAGAUGCUAAUACCGCAUAACAACUUGGACCGCAUGGUCCGAGUUUGAAAGAUGGCUUCGGCUAUCACUUUUGGAUGGUCCCGCGGCGUAUUAGCUAGAUGGUGAGGUAACGGCUCACCAUGGCAAUGAUACGUAGCCGACCUGAGAGGGUAAUCGGCCACAUUGGGACUGAGGCACGGCCCAAACUCCUACGGGAGGCAGCAGUAGGGAAUCUUCCACAAUGGACGAAAGUCUGAUGGAGCAACGCCGCGUGGGUGAAGAAGGGUUUCGGCUCGUAAAACUCUGUUGUUAAAGAAGAACAUAUCUGAGAGUAACUGUUCAGGUAUUGACGGUAUUUAACCAGAAAGCCACGGCUAACUACGUGCCAGCAGCCGCGGUAAUACGUAGGUGGCAAGCGUUGUCCGGAUUUAUUGGGCGUAAAGCGAGCGCAGGCGGUUUUUUAAGUCUGAUGUGAAAGCCUUCGGCUCAACCGAAGAAGUGCAUCGGAAACUGGGGAACUUGAGUGCAGAAGAGGACAGUGGAACUCCAUGUGUAGCGGUGAAAUGCGUAGAUAUAUGGAAGAACACCAGUGGCGAAGGCGGCUGUCUGGUCUGUAACUGACGCUGAGGCUCGAAAGUAUGGGUAGCAAACAGGAUUAGAUACCCUGGUAGUCCAUACCGUAAACGAUGAAUGCUAAGUGUUGGAGGGUUUCCGCCCUUCAGUGCUGCAGCUAACGCAUUAAGCAUUCCGCCUGGGGAGUACGGCCGCAAGGCUGAAACUCAAAGGAAUUGACGGGGGCCCGCACAAGCGGUGGAGCAUGUGGUUUAAUUCGAAGCUACGCGAAGAACCUUACCAGGUCUUGACAUACUAUGCAAAUCUAAGAGAUUAGACGUUCCCUUCGGGGACAUGGAUACAGGUGGUGCAUGGUUGUCGUCAGCUCGUGUCGUGAGAUGUUGGGUUAAGUCCCGCAACGAGCGCAACCCUUAUUAUCAGUUGCCAGCAUUAAGUUGGGCACUCUGGUGAGACUGCCGGUGACAAACCGGAGGAAGGUGGGGAUGACGUCAAAUCAUCAUGCCCCUUAUGACCUGGGCUACACACGUGCUACAAUGGAUGGUACAACGAGUUGCGAACUCGCGAGAGUAAGCUAAUCUCUUAAAGCCAUUCUCAGUUCGGAUUGUAGGCUGCAACUCGCCUACAUGAAGUCGGAAUCGCUAGUAAUCGCGGAUCAGCAUGCCGCGGUGAAUACGUUCCCGGGCCUUGUACACACCGCCCGUCACACCAUGAGAGUUUGUAACACCCAAAGUCGGUGGGGUAACCUUUUAGGAACCAGCCGCCUAAGGUGGGACAGAUGAUUAGGGUG
This 1489-nucleotide ribosomal RNA is filed under the name Lactiplantibacillus plantarum. Its description in RNAcentral is "bacterial SSU rRNA". It matches the Rfam family "Bacterial small subunit ribosomal RNA". The record is from RNAcentral. Lineage: Bacteria; Bacillati; Bacillota; Bacilli; Lactobacillales; Lactobacillaceae.